GACGAACCGUGCGAACGUUAUUCGGAAUCACUGGGCUUAAAGGGUGCGUAGGCGGCCCGUUAAGUCAGUGGUGAAAGCCUCCAGCUCAACUGGAGAACUGCCAUUGAUACUGACGGGCUUGAGUACAGACGAGGUUGGCGGAAUUGAUUGUGUAGCGGUGAAAUGCAUAGAUACAAUCAAGAACUCCGAUUGCGUAGGCAGCUAACUAGGCUGUAACUGACGCUGAGGCACGAAAGCGUGGGGAGCGAACAGG
RNAcentral lists this ribosomal RNA (253 nucleotides) under uncultured bacterium. RNAcentral describes it as "partial 16S ribosomal RNA". It matches the Rfam family "Bacterial small subunit ribosomal RNA", at positions 524 to 776 of the family's 1533-position model. The record is from RNAcentral.